AUGGUUUAUUACUGUGUUUGUGGCGGGUGCAAGAACUCCAGCAAAACUGGACAUAGGGUCCAUUGUUUCCCCAAGGACAAAGGGAUCUUCCGAAACUGGGUGCAAUUUGUCAAGAUUAGGCGGGCAGAUUUUUCAGCUAGCUCUGUCACCGCCUACUCGAGAAUAUGCAGCGCGCAUUUCAAGGAGGAGGAUUACCACUCAGGGGAUGCCAAGAUGGUCGCACUUUCUUUAAAAAGUAUGAGGAUGGCUAAGUUAAUUCCUACCGCCGUGCCGUCUGUGAAUGCAAACCUCUCUGCUUGUCCUGUCCCGAGGUCGAGAGACACCGUCUGCUGCAAGCGAUAUAUUGCCACGAUGAUGACAGAUACCUCACAGCAGGAGACCGUGGACAGUGUAGACACUGUGGAGAGUGUCGAUACUGGCGAUCAGCCCUUGCCCUCCUCCACUUCUGACGCUGUGACACAGUGUUAUUUGAAGCCCCCCCGAUGGUCUCGCGCUGUGCAGGUUAACCUGAAGCCCAAGAUGGUCAGCGUGGGUACACAGACGUCUUUCAGCCCACAAACCUCCACUCCCCUCGCUAGUCCUGAACGGACAGAUGAUGAAGAUGAUGAUAAUGCCUCUGUCGUUAGUGACUUAUCGUGGGUGCCCGAAGAGCCGAUGCAUGAGGAGGACUUGUUUGAUGAGGAGCCACCUUACGCUUGUGACCCCCACCACAAGUGAGAUAAUUUAAAACCGACAUAGACCAUUUUGAAUGCUCAUUUUAUUUCCAUCUUUGUAAGUGGCAAUAAUUGUCGCUGUACCCCAUUCAAGGGGUCCUGCAUGCCGCAUGUCUGCUCCUCUGCCUGUUAUUUGCAUGUUAUUUGCAUGAAAUUUGUUGUAUGUAAUUCAAAAUAAUUUACCAAUCAUUUUACCUGUGCCUUGUCAACCUCUGUGUGCAGUGUUGUCUGGGCUCACUGUGUGUCUGCUUGAUGUGCUUUUGCGUGUGUGUGUGUGAGAGAAACAAAAGAAACUGUGCAAAUGUUUCAGGUCAGUAAUCUUCGUCCUUGUUCAGUAAAUGUUCAGUAACCGUUAAAAGCAAUGCCAAUAAACUGUGUUUUCUUAUCAAAAUUCAUGUGUUCUGUGUGCUUUAUAACAUUUUAAGGGCAAUUGGGGGAUCACAACAGAAUAAGCAAUUAUUUUUAUUAAUUUUCAUCCAAACGAGGCCAUUGAAAGCCCUGAUAGGUCUGGUCACCACUUUGAAAUUUUUGUCUGAUGGUUGAAACCACACAAGAGGGUAGAGGCUUCCUUAUACUCCUGCCUAAAACUCCAUAAGCCCAGCGUAUAGCCUGCCUGUACGCAGUGUACCGGUAUUGCCUAGGGAUAAGUAGGAAAGAUUCUUAAGUUUAAAACUGUAAGUAGGUUGGAAACGUCAUUUUAAGCCUGUCUCUUAUGCAUGUUUAUUGUGUAUGCAACACAUCUCCUGUCACCUAUAGCUGUUGUUCAAAAGACUCAGUGUAAAAAGAUUGGUAAAGUAAACAAACCAUGAACAUACUCGUGUGUGCUGGCUUGAAGGGGACCAUGAUCCUGCCUGAAGUGUGAGUAUGCUAUGUGUAGCACAAACGGAUUCAGGCAGCAUGCCUCAAAUCCAGGAUGCUGCGUUAGGCACGUUACAUCUGCUGGCCGCGGGGUGAGGUCCUCGACCAGCGACCAAAACGCUCUCACCUCCCUACAACACAAGCUCUCCACCAGUUUCCAUGGGACGACACCGCCCACACAGACACCUGCCAAACACAGCGACACAGACGCAUACUACUCACUCCCUCUACCGGUAAGCCUGACGGUGUCAAUGACAAUUAAUCACGAGGAAAACUAGUUGGCACUAUCAACAAUAAUCACACUGAAGACAUGACCAGCCGUCGGCGUCGGCUACGUUUGCAAACAACAUUUUCACCGGAGGAGGUGGUAAAAGCUUAGAAAUUAACAGUAGGGGUUCACAGGUGGGACUGUCAAGCUAGCCCAUAGCUAAUCACUGUCACUAGAUAUAAAGAAAACGUUGACUUUUAUUCGGUGCUAUUCACUGACAGUAAAAAAAAAAGUUGUUAUUGUAUGCACUGCUGUUCACAGACUACUAGCUCCAGCGGUCAUUGCUGCGUUUCUAAAUGGUAGCAACUCACCAGGACACUUCACCAACUCUCCAGUCAUUCUCCUCUGACCAUGCAUUUAUUUGUCUUUGAUUGCCAUCGGCUCUCGGUAUUUCCUCAUUCGCCCUGUCACGUCUAAACGGUUCGAAAUUAUAUGGCUGUGGGCCAUCAUAAAUGUUAACUGUGGGUCUUUCCACCUCUUCCUCAUCCCAGUUAGACGCCAUAGUCACUGAGUGGUAGAACUAGUUCUAGUAGCUGCUGAGCUGCAAGGCUGGGGCUACCUUCCAGCACGUCUACCUCAUGUGACGUCAUCGCCGAAUUGCGUAAAAAAUAACCGUUACUAACCAAAAACUACAAAAACUGGACUUUAACACCAUUUUGGAGACAUUUCUAACUUUAUAUACAUAUCUUGACUGCUUUACGUACCCAUUAAUCGAAAGUAGUGUUUAACCUGCACCAUAGCCUUUAAAGUAUUUUAAUGGAACACAGGAUGUCUUUUCUGUUGUGGAGAGAAUUGCCAGAAAAGAAUCAGAAUCAGAAUCAGAGCUUUAUUGCCAGGUAUGUUUACACAUACAAGGAAUUUGUUUUCGUGAUAGAAGCUCUGCAGUACAACAGAAUGACAGCGACAGAACAUAAAACACAUAAUAAAAGAAUAAAAAAUACAAAUAAGUAGAUAGUGAAUGACAAUAUACAAAUUGACAAUUGUAGGCUGUCUGGUCGUUCUGGUGCUCAGUGCUCUGUAGCGUCGACCAGAUGGCAACAGUUCAAAGAGGGAGUGUUCUGGAUGUGAGGGGUCCAGAGUGAUUUUGACAGCCCCUUUUCUCACUCUGGAUAAGUACAGUUCUUGAAUAGAAGGGAGGGUUGUACCAAUGAUUCGUUCAGCAGUCCGGACUAACCUCUGUAGUCUUCUGAGGUCAGAUUUAGAAGCUGAGCUGAACCAGACAGUUACUGAAGUGCAGAGGAUGGAUUCAAUGAUGGUGGAGUAGAACUGUUUCAGCAGCUCCUGUGGCAGGUUAAACUUCCUCAGCUGGCGAAGGAAGUACAACCUCUGCUGGGCCUUUUUUACGAUGGAGUCAAUGUGAAUGUCCCAUUUCAGGUCCUGAGAGAUAGUGGUGCCCAGGAACCUGAAUGACUCCACUGCAGUCACAGUGCUGUUCAUGAUGGUGAGUGGGGGGAGUGCAGGGGGGUUUCUCCUGAAGUCCACGAUCAUCUCCACUGUUUUGAGGGUGUUAAGCUCCAGGUUGUUGAGAGUGCACCAGACAGCCAGCUCUUUUACCUCCUGUCUGUAAGCAGAUUCGUCACCGUCCUGAAUGAGGCCGAUGAGUGUGGUGUCAUCUGCAAACUUCAGGAGCUUGACAGAGGGGUCUUUAGAUGUGCAAUCAUUAGUGUACAGGGAGAAGAGCAGUGGGGAGAGGACACAGCCCUGGGGAGCUCCGGUGCUGAUUGUACAGGUGCUGGAUGUAUAUUUUCCCAAACUCACUAGCUGCUACCUGUCUGUCAGGAAGCUGUUGAUCCACUGACAGAUGGAGGUGGGCACAGAGAAUGGAUUUAGUUUGGGCAGGAGGAGGAUUGGGAUGAUCGUGUUAAAGGCCAAGUCCACAAACAGGAUCCUCACAUAAGUACCCGGUCUGUCUAGUUGUUGCAGAACAUAAUGCAGUCCAAUGUUUACUGCAUCGUCCACAGACCUGUUUGCUCUGUAGGCAAACUGAAGAGGAUCCAGCAAGGGUCCAGUGAUGUCCGUCAGGUGGGCCAGCAUCAGUUUUUCAAAUUAUUUCAUGACUACAGAUGUUAAAGCCACAGGCCUGUAGUCAUUUAGUCCUGUAAUCUUGGAUUUCUUUGGAAUGGGGAUGAUGGUGGAGCGUUUGAAGCAUGAAGGGACUUAGCACAGCUCCAGCGAUCUGAUGAAGAUACGUGUGAAGAUGGGGGCCAGCUGGUCAGCACAGGAUUUCAGACAGGCUGGUGUAACACAAUCUGGGCCUGGUGCUUUUUUCCUUUUCUGCUUCCGGAAGACCUGGCGCACCGCAUCCUCGCUUAUCUGUAUUGCAGGUGUGGGGGAUAGGAGGUGUGAAUGGUGAGAGUGCUUGAUUGGAGAUGUGUUCAGGGCAGGUGAUGGGUGUUCUUUCAUACCUGCAGUAAAACUCAUUCUGCCAGUCGUUGAUUCUCCACAGUGCUGGGGGUGGUGUCUUGUCUUCCACAGUCUGAAAGAGAAAAUGCCAAACAUAUGAGUGCAAAGGUUCAGUCAUUUGUUAAAGAACUUUAUUUUAAUAAGCAAAGAACAGAUAAAUGUGAAAUAUUAAAUGACAUUGUCAAGGUUUUUGGCUGUCCCCCAAUGCAGGAUUGCAUCACAACUGCAUAUAGGCUUGCAAUAAGUUAUGUGGAAAUGUAAGUAACUGGUUCUGGUCUUACAAACAUUUCUUGGUUAAUGGAGUUCUAAAUCACACUCAAAAAUAUGACCGACUUAAGAAGAGAUGCAACGGUGCUAUAUACUUGAAGGAUGGUACAUUCUCUUUAAUUAGUGACUUUAAUUAAUUAGUCAUUUUUAAACAAGUAUCUGUGCAUCAAAGUCCUGCAUAUUGUGAAUGUACCAAACACGUCUGAGCUUUAGUUGAGGUUCUUUUUAAGUCUAACAACCCUUUAUGUAAAGAUUCACAAAUAAAUGUACAGAGUAAAAAGACUGGAACCAUUAGUGCCAUCAGGCCUGGUAUGAUAAGAAUGAAAUGUGUUGUUGUUGAAACAGCCGACAAUUUGUACAUUACACCUUUGCCAAAUCCACAUGAACGGGACUAAAAAAAGCAGUCAUUAGUCAUAUUAACCAGUGUUGUGAUAUGUAUUUAUGUUAGACUUGCUCUUGAUGUUUUGUUAUGAGAUAUCUGUUAAUGAAAUUUUAUAUGCUGGUAUAUCUUAUUAUAGAAACCAGUAUGAAUCAAGUCUGAUACUGUUACAUCUUGAAAGAUCGGCCAAUAAAAUCACUAAAAAUGUAUCUGCUUCUGUGUGGGUUUUUAUUGCUUUGUAAAAAGCAGAUCAGCUUCAGUUCCAUGUCUUUCAAUUACUUUAAAAUCUAUUCCACCCCAAGGCUUGUUACUACAGUAUAUGCACUUAAACAGGUAAGUUUAUAAGAUGGAAUGUAAUAUUAUGAGGAAAACAUAUUUAUUAAGUCACUCAAUCAAAAGUUUAAAACAAAACGAAAAGCUAAGUAUACUUAGAAUACACAAUUAUACUUUUAAGUAUAUGUCAGUAGACAAAUAUAGGCC
This 5368-nucleotide long non-coding RNA is filed under the name Carassius auratus (goldfish). Its description in RNAcentral is "lncRNA (ENSCARG00000004320.1)". The record is from RNAcentral. Lineage: Eukaryota; Metazoa; Chordata; Actinopteri; Cypriniformes; Cyprinidae.